RNAcentral lists this ribosomal RNA (483 nucleotides) under Clevea hyalina. Its description in RNAcentral is "partial 26S ribosomal RNA". It matches the Rfam family "Eukaryotic large subunit ribosomal RNA", at positions 75 to 549 of the family's 3401-position model. The record is from RNAcentral. Lineage: Eukaryota; Viridiplantae; Streptophyta; Marchantiopsida; Marchantiales; Cleveaceae.
UUCCCCUAGUARCGGCGAGYGAACCGGGARAAGCCCAGCUUGARAAUCCCGWCGUAGUCRAUUUGCRGCGGGAGUUGUARUCUGGAGAAKUGUCCUCUGCASCGGACCUGGCCYAAGUCCCCUGGAAAGGGGCGUCAGAGAGGGUGAGAACCCCGUCGGGCCGGGAGCCUGCUGCUCCACGAGGCACUGUCGACGAGUCGGGCUGUWUGGGAAUGCAGCCCUAAGUGGGAGGUAAAUUCCUUCCAAGGMUAAAUACGGGCGGGAGACCGAUAGCGAACAAGUACCGCGAGGGAAAGAUGAAAAGGACUUUGAAAAGAGAGUUAAAAAGUGCUUGAAAUUGCUGGGAGGGAAGCGAAUGGAGGCCUCGUGUGCGCCCCGGUCGGAUGCGGAACGGCGUUCAGCUGGUCCGCCGCUCGACGCGGGGCGCUGGUCGGCGUGGGCUUUUUUAWUUYCSGSSGGAWWAAAAUYCGGCYUUUUGUUKGG